UUUGUAAUCCUGGUGAAUCAUCCGAUACAAAUUUCUCUGAUGAUAGUGAUUUUGAAUCUCCUAAUAUGCCACCUCAAGCUACUAAAAAAAGUGAACAGUCUGGAGAAAAAUUUGGAAUCGGGACAAAAUUUUCUUCAUUUGAAGAGAUGGAAAAAUGUAUUGCAGCAUAUCAGAAAGAAGUGAACAGCUGUUAUUACGUUCGAGAUUCAAUGACAAUUGUUCAAGCCCGGAAAAGGAGGAUCAAAAGAUUUAUGAACGAAAAAUUGAAAUAUUAUUCAUAUAAAUAUUGCUGCAUAAAUGGCGGUAAAAAUUUCGUUUCCCAAGCCACGGGUGUUCGUUCAUCAUCCACUUUUCAAAAAGGGUGUAAAUCGUUCAUCCAGCUUGGGCUGAGCGGGUGUGGUAACUUUCUUGUUGUUACUGCUAUCAAUACUGAACACAACCACAUUUGUUCCAAGGAGUUGUUUUUGCACCUACCACAAGUUCGUUCCUUAUCGAAAGAAGAAAAAAAAAGUCUCCACGCUUCUGGUGGAACUUGGUGCCAAUAAGAAAAAAGUAAAUAAUAUGAUACACGCUCAAACGGGAAAAAAAGUUCUUCUUAAGGAUUUGUCCAACAUCAGUUCCGAAUGUCGAGGAGAAAGCAAUGAUUUGAUGGGAACAGUAACAAUGUUACGAGAACGGUUUCGUGCUCAGGUUUUUGUUUAUGAAGAAGAGAAUAUUUUUAAAGGGCUAUUCUUUACGACUCCCAGCAUGAAACAAACGAUGGAAGCAUUUCCUGAAUUUUUAGGAAUCGAUGGAACUUUCAAGUUACUCAACAUUCGGGCGCCGGUUUAUCUCAUGAUCGUCGAAGAUUCGGAAGGGUCAACAGAAAUCGUCGGAGUCUGUAUCUUGGUAUCAGAAGAUGCCGAGAGCGUGAGAUGGAUGAUUGAAUCUUUCAAAGAAGCCCAUAAAUCUUGGACGGAAAUCAAAUGCGUAAUGGCGGACAAGGAUCUUCUGGAGAGGAAAAUAAUUAAAGAGCAAAUUCCUUCUGCAAAAGUAUUGAUAUGUGUGUUCCAUUCCUUGAGAACGUUCAAUCGAGAGAUCGCCUGCGAUAAAUUAGGGAUUACGCCUGGACAAAGGGAUACCGCCAAGGAGCUAUUUUAAAAGAUGCUGUAUGCUCCUAGUGAAGACCAGUACAUGCUACUCUAUGAGGAAUGUAAAAAAUUACCGGAUUCCGUCCUAGAUUAUUUCAAUCGGAACUGGCACAACAUCCGAAAUGAGUGGACACUAUCCGAAAACUUCAUGAGGGACAAUUUUCUCAACACGACGAACAACAGGAUUGAAUCGAUCAAUGCAAAAAUAAAGAGUGUUGUGAAGCGAUAUAGUACUAUUGAAGAGUUCGUUCGAAGUUUUUUCGAAUUGAUCCAUUGUUCGGAUGUCGAACGCGAUCACAAAGCAGCAUUUAUGUAUCAAAAGAUUCCGAUCCAGUCGUUUGAUGCUGAUAGCCCAGCAUACUUUUUCUCAAAUUUGCUUACAAAAUACGCCUUUCGAUUUGUCCAACGAGAACUGGAUAUGAAAAACCUUUUCACCAUGACCCAAGAACAAGACCACUUCGUCACUUGGAUUAAUGGGUUAUCGAUUCACACAACUCCGGAGUCUUGCAAUUGUCUGUUUUUCGUUGCGAUGAAACUGCCAUGCCGGUUAUUGACAAAAAUUAUUGCUCAUUAGUCCUCAUUUUUUUAGUGCUCGUAAUUAUUUUACGCAACUAAAAUAUUUUUAUGAAAGUAUCAUAAGCAAAUUAUCAACUUUUCGUUUUUCCUGGAAAUAUGUUGUGCAAGAUAUUUUGUUCUUGCUCAUUAAUCCUCGUUUUUAUCAUUGCAAAGUUUCUCAGUACUCGUAAUUGUUUUACAUAGUUAAAACAUUUUUACGAUAGUAUUAGAAAGAAACGAUAGAUUAUUGGUCAGUAGUUCUUAUUUUUUUGGUACUCGUAAUUAUUUUACGCAGUUAAAAUAUUUUUACGAAAGUACUAUGAGUAAAUGAUCAAUUUUUCGUUGAUUUGUCCUGGAAAUAUGUUGUGCAACAUAUUUUGUUCUUGCUCAUUAAUCCUCAUUUUUAUCAUCGCAAAGUUUCUCAGUACUCGUAAUUGUUAUACACCGUCAAAAUAUUUUUACGAUAGUACCAUGAGCAAAUGAUCAAUUUUCCGUUAGUCCUUCUCCUGAUGAGCUUUUUUCCAUUAUCCUUUAAUAAUCCUUCCUUCUUAUAUAUAUAGGCACAUUUUUGAAGUAAGAAGCAUUUUGGGAUUGUCACUCUGUACUACUGAUAUCUGCAACGAACGAUGGACCCGCACUUAUUUUUUCCGCAAGCAGAGAAUUUUUACUGAAAACAACGAUCCUGUCGAUCUCCCUUGUCAAGCAAUUGUCACUGAAAACGUUCCGAAACGUUAUGUGCCAUCGCAAAAUGAUCGAUAUCGGAAAGCCUUUUUGAUAGCUAAAGACUUGGCAAGUUUAGUUGCGGAAGUGACUGGCGAAAGCUACGUAAGUCGACUUCAUGAGAUGCUGAAACUGAAAUUGAUAUGGUCUCAAAAUAAAGAAAUCGAAAACUCCUCAAAUAAUUUAGUGGAGCUUAUCGUUACCCCUAUCAUUUGCCAAAGUGAUAAUGUUGAAAAGUCUCAACCUGAAUCGCAACCGUGUCACCAAAAUGAAAACGAGAUAAAUUUUGCACAUGAUUCCGUAGAGUCGUUGGAAAUGCUAUUAACUGAUGAUAAUUUUUCUGAAAAUCCUGAUGAAGAGUUUUGCUCCAAUCAGUCGGUCGAUGACUGCAUUAUAAACGUUAAUGAAAUUGCUUCAAAUCAACCUCAAGAAAGUUUGGCCAAGUCAUCUGGUUUUGGUAAAAAAAAAUUGGAAAUUGAAAAUAAAAUUUCAAACAUCAAAAUGCCUCCGGUUAUCAAGCCACGUGGCCGUCCCAAGGGACUAGAAAAAACUGUUAUAGGACUUUCAAAAAAAAGAAACUUGUCUCAAGCUACCUCAGCCUUGCCAUUCGUGAAAAAAAAAAUCUCAGAAAGGUGAAACAAUUUUGCGUUGGUUGCUGCUCGACGAAAAUUUGAUUAAAUGUGCUUUAUGCGAAGGAAAACUAAUCGAAAAAAAUGUAAUUGAAACUCGAAUUGAAAAAUUACCGCAUCCUUUUAUAGAUAAAGGAGCUAAUAGGCUAAUUUCCAUAGUUAAACAAUAUUUUACGACCGAAGCUUGGCAGUUUCUUGAAAAAGCUGUUAAUUUACAAAAGAAACAAGGUAUUUUUUAUUGCGGUCAAUGUUCUAUUAAUUUAGAAGACACAGUUGAUUCUAUUGAUAGUACCACGGAGGAUGGUCAAAUUGAUAAUAAAAUUUCUAUCCGUUGCGAUUAUUGCUUGACAUGGUAUCAUUUAACCUGUGUAUCGUUGAAAAAAACACCUACAGUAAAAGUUUGGAAAUGUCCGAAAUGUAAAUUUUGAUUGAUUACUAAAAAAUCAAUAUGAAAAAUAAAUGUCUAUUUUUUAAAUAUUUUUAGGUACG
This is a long non-coding RNA of Venturia canescens, 3523 nucleotides long. RefSeq lists it as uncharacterized. The record is from RefSeq and is a predicted model, not a curated record. The transcript has 4 exons. Lineage: Eukaryota; Metazoa; Arthropoda; Insecta; Hymenoptera; Ichneumonidae.